GCGAGACAGGGGGGUCCGUGACCGGGCACGACAGAUAAACUGUCCGCGGACGACGCCGGGCGCAGCCCCCGUCCCGUCCACCAAUGAUCAGCCAGCAGCCGCUGCAACCCCAGGGAG
Molecule: small RNA, 117 nt
Filed under: Streptomyces sp. NRRL WC-3605
Lineage: Bacteria; Bacillati; Actinomycetota; Actinomycetes; Kitasatosporales; Streptomycetaceae
Description: Streptomyces-metK RNA
Rfam family: Streptomyces-metK RNA
Source: Rfam by way of RNAcentral